GGGGCUGCUAUAGCUCAGCUGGGAGAGCGCUUGCAUGGCAUGCAAGAGGUCAGCGGUUCGAUCCCGCUUAGCUCCACCA
This 79-nucleotide transfer RNA is filed under the name Escherichia coli. Its description in RNAcentral is "tRNA-Ala". It matches the Rfam family "tRNA". From Rfam's summary of the family: Transfer RNA (tRNA) molecules are approximately 80 nucleotides in length. Their secondary structure includes four short double-helical elements and three loops (D, anti-codon, and T loops). RNAcentral also lists the same sequence under 1 other name. Lineage: Bacteria; Pseudomonadati; Pseudomonadota; Gammaproteobacteria; Enterobacterales; Enterobacteriaceae. The record is from RNAcentral.